UGUGAGACGACGAAAAGAGCUUCCUGUGGCCUAUCUGCUGCGUCCAUUGUAUGGAUGAAGUGUGGUGAAGUUUAUCAAGUCAAUUGAAGCGAAAGUGGACCGUUCGGUCGCCAAUAAAUCGUCGGUGCCGCAUUGCAUUCAAAAGCAUUCAUAGCUGAAACAAAGUAAGCGAAGACCUUGGCGAAGACGUUAGCCGUUGUCCGAAGAGGCAAAUGAACCCGGCAAGCGCAACAACCCGUCUGUGAGAUUAUCUGUGCUGGUGUUCUUUGUACCAGAUGUAACCCUCACCCUGGAAAUAAAUGAUAGAAACCUUCGAUACGAGGAUCUGGUAAGGUCUGGAGGGCUCACCCCCGUUUGCUAGCAUCCAAGAACUGAUAAGUCCGGACCCGGAAGCGCACAAGUGGAAUGUUGGAGCGAAGAUUAGGUUAAACAGGGUGUACACCAGAGAAACUCGUGUAUGCAGCAUGGGAAGCGAUCAUCUAUGCACGGUGACCGACUAUUAGGCACAUGCUUAACUAUUUUGAUUUAUUACUGUUCAUCUAUUGGGCCUCAACAGAUCCCGAACGACCACAUCGAGACUGCCCUUUGAUUCUUAAAUAUUGUAAAGAAAGAAUAAACACCUAUUAUCUUGAGAUA
This is a long non-coding RNA of Armigeres subalbatus, 636 nucleotides long. RefSeq lists it as uncharacterized. NCBI's taxonomy places the organism in Eukaryota, Metazoa, Arthropoda, Insecta, Diptera, Culicidae. The record is from RefSeq and is a predicted model, not a curated record. The transcript is spliced from 2 exons.